AGAUGUUGAAGAAAAAAGAAUAGAAGAUUUAGAAACUUCGGGGACUCACCAUGGUGUUUGGUAGUUGAAGACGAGAGUCACAAACUCAGAGAAUAAGAGAACUUUGGUUCACUUGGUUAGUGAAAUUUAAAUCAGAAAGGAAUGUGGAGGGAGAUAGUGUGACGUAAGUGUAUUAUUUAUAGAACGACUAACAUUUCUUUUGGUUAAAAAUCUUUUCAUGCUGUUAGUCUCCAAUCACUAUUGGUCACGAAAGAACCCACUAGUUCCUAAAUCAAUC
This 277-nucleotide long non-coding RNA is filed under the name Lathyrus oleraceus (garden pea). RNAcentral's name for it is "Pisum sativum (pea) long non-coding RNA (PSAT_LNC038052)". Lineage: Eukaryota; Viridiplantae; Streptophyta; Magnoliopsida; Fabales; Fabaceae. The record is from RNAcentral.